This 406-nucleotide ribosomal RNA is filed under the name uncultured bacterium. RNAcentral describes it as "partial 16S ribosomal RNA". It matches the Rfam family "Bacterial small subunit ribosomal RNA", at positions 30 to 526 of the family's 1533-position model. The record is from RNAcentral.
AUUGAACGCUGGCGGCAGGCCUAACACAUGCACGUCGAACGAGUGGCGGACGGGUGAGUAAUGUCUGGGAAACUGCCCGCUGGAGGGGGCUAACUACUGGAAACGGUCACUAAUACCGCAUACCAUCGGAUGUGCCCAAAUGGGAUUAGCUAUUAGGUGGGGUAACGGCUCACAUAGGAGACGAUCCCUAGCUGGUCUGAGAGGAUGACCAGCCACACUGGACCUGAGACACGGACCAGGCGCCUACGGGAGGCAGCAGUGGGGAAUAUUGCACAAUGGGCGAAAGCCUAAUGCAGCCAUGCCGCGUGUAUGAAGAAGGCCUUCGGGUUGUAAAGUACUUUCAGCGAGGAGGCGUUACUCGCAGAAUAAGCACCGGCUAACUACGUGCCAGCAGCCGCGGUAAUUC